ACGCUGGCGGCGUGCUUAACACAUGCAAGUCGAGCGAUGAAGCUCUUCGGAAGUGGAUUAGCGGCGGACGGGUGAGUAACACGUGGGUAACCUGCCUCAUAGAGGGGAAUAGCCUUUCGAAAGGAAGAUUAAUACCGCAUAAGAUUGUAGUACCGCAUGGUACAGCAAUUAAAGGAGUAAUCCGCUAUGAGAUGGACCCGCGUCGCAUUAGCUAGUUGGUGAGGUAACGGCUCACCAAGGCGACGAUGCGUAGCCGACCUGAGAGGGUGAUCGGCCACAUUGGGACUGAGACACGGCCCAGACUCCUACGGGAGGCAGCAGUGGGGAAUAUUGCACAAUGGGGGAAACCCUGAUGCAGCAACGUCGCGUGAGUGAUGACGGUCUUCGGAUUGUAAAGCUCUGUCUUUAGGGACGAUAAUGACGGUACCUAAGGAGGAAGCCACGGCUAACUACGUGCCAGCCGCUGC
Molecule: ribosomal RNA, 467 nt
Filed under: uncultured bacterium
Lineage: Bacteria
Description: bacterial SSU rRNA
Rfam family: Bacterial small subunit ribosomal RNA
Source: RNAcentral